AAUGAACGUUGGCGGCGUGGAUUAGGCAUGCAAGUCGAGCGCGAUAUGUAGCAAUACAUGGAGAGCGGCGAAAGGGAGAGUAAUACGUAGGUAUCUACCCUCGGGUCUGGGAUAGCAGCGGGAAACUGCUGGUAAUACCAGAUAACGUCUCCGGACCAAAGGUGUGAUUCCACCUGAGGAGGAGCCUACGGCCUAUUAGCUAGUUGGUAGGGUAACGGCCUACCAAGGCAAAGAUGGGUAUGGGGUGUGAGAGCAUGCCCCCACUCACUGGGACUGAGACACUGCCCAGAAAGCUACGGGUGGCUGCAGUCGAGAAUCUUCGGCAAUGGGCGAAAGCCUGACCGAGCGACGCCGCGUGCGGGAUGAAGGCCUUCGGGUUGUAAACCGCUGUCGUAGUGGAGGAAAUGUAGGAGAGUUAUCUCUUCUACUUGACUAAUACUAGGAGGAAGGACCGGCUAAUCUCGUGCCAGCCGCCGCAGUAA
This 482-nucleotide ribosomal RNA is filed under the name uncultured bacterium. Its description in RNAcentral is "partial 16S ribosomal RNA". It matches the Rfam family "Bacterial small subunit ribosomal RNA", at positions 29 to 523 of the family's 1533-position model. The record is from RNAcentral.